GCUUGUCUCAAAGAUUAAGCCAUGCAUGUCUAUGUAUAAACAAGUAUACUGUGAAACUGCGAAUGGCUCAUUAAAUCAGUUAUAGUUUAUUUGAUAGUACCUUACUACUUGGAUAACCGUGGUAAUUCUAGAGCUAAUACAUGCAUCAAUCCCCGACUUCCUGGAAGGGGUGUACUUAUUAGAUGGAAACCAAUGCGGGGCAACCCGGAUUCUGGUGAUUCAUAAUAAUUAUCGGAUCGAUCGUAUGAUCGAUGCAUCAUUCAAGUUUCUGCCCUAUCAGCUUUGGAUGGUAGGGUAUUGGCCUACCAUGGCAUUAACGGGUAACGGAGAAUUAGGGUUCGAUUCCGGAGAGGGAGCCUGAGAAAUGGCUACCACAUCCAAGGAAGGCAGCAGG
Molecule: ribosomal RNA, 394 nt
Filed under: uncultured Chrysophyceae
Lineage: Eukaryota; Chrysophyceae
Description: partial small subunit ribosomal RNA
Rfam family: Eukaryotic small subunit ribosomal RNA
Source: RNAcentral